This 443-nucleotide ribosomal RNA is filed under the name uncultured bacterium. RNAcentral's name for it is "partial 16S ribosomal RNA". It matches the Rfam family "Bacterial small subunit ribosomal RNA", at positions 338 to 795 of the family's 1533-position model. The record is from RNAcentral.
CCUACGGGGGGCAGCAGUGGGGAAUAUUGGGCAAUGGAGGCAACUCUUACCCAGCAAUGCCGCGUGAAUGAAGAAGGUCUUCGGAUUGUAAAGUUCUUUAAUUGGGGACGAAAAAAAUGACGGUACCCAAGGAAUAAGCCCCGGCUAACUACGUGCCAGCAGCCGCGGCAAUACGUAGGGGGCAAGCGUUGUUCGGAAUGACUGGGCGUAAAGGGUGUGCAGCCGGAGAGACAAGUCAGAUGUGAAAUCCACGGGCUCAACCCGUGAACUGCAUUUGAAACUGUUUCCCUUGAGUGUCGGAGAGGGAAUCGGAAGUCCUGGUGUAGCGGUGAAAUGCGUAGAUAUAAGGAAGAACACCAGUGGCGAAGGCGGAUUACUGGACGAUAACUGACGGUGAGGCGCGAAAGCGUGGGGAGCAAACAGGAUUAGAUACCCCAGUAGUC